This 552-nucleotide ribosomal RNA is filed under the name uncultured bacterium. RNAcentral's name for it is "bacterial SSU rRNA". It matches the Rfam family "Bacterial small subunit ribosomal RNA", at positions 353 to 896 of the family's 1533-position model. The record is from RNAcentral.
AGUGAGGAAUAUUGGACAAUGGGCGAAAGCCUGAUCCAGCCAUGCCGCGUGUGUGAAGAAGGCUUUCGGGUUGUAAAGCACUUUCAGUGGGGAAGAAAUCCUCGGGGCCAAUACCCUCGAGGGAGGACAUCACCCACAGAAGAAGCACCGGCUAACUCCGUGCCAGCAGCCGCGGUAAUACGGAGGGUGCGAGCGUUAAUCGGAAUUACUGGGCGUAAAGCGCGCGUAGGUGGUUCGAUAAGCGGGAUGUGAAAGCCCCGGGCUUAACCUGGGAACGGCAUUCCGAACUGUCGGGCUAGAGUAUGGUAGAGGGUAGUGGAAUUUCCUGUGUAGCGGUGAAAUGCGUAGAUAUAGGAAGGAACACCAGUGGCGAAGGCGGCUACCUGGACCAAUACUGACACUGAGGUGCGAAAGCGUGGGGAGCGAACAGGAUUAGAUACCCUGGUAGUCCACGCCGUAAACGCUGGGUACUAGGUGUUGCGGGUAUUGACCCCUGCAGUGCCGAAGCUAACGCAUUAAGUACCCCGCCUGGGGAGUACGGUCGCAAGACUA